GCUACAGGCUUAACACAUGCAAGUCGAGGGGUAGCAGGGUAGCAAUACCGCUGACGACCGGCGCACGGGUGAGUAACACGUAUCCAACCUUCCCAUAACUCGGGGAUAGCCUUUCGAAAGAAAGAUUAAUACCCGAUAGUACUUUAUUAAGGCAUCUUAAGAAAGUUAAAGAUUUAUUGGUUAUGGAUGGGGAUGCGUUCCAUUAGAUAGUUGGUGAGGUAACGGCUCACCAAGUCUUCGAUGGAUAGGGGUUCUGAGAGGAAGGUCCCCCACAUUGGUACUGAGACACGGACCAAACUCCUACGGGAGGCAGCAGUGAGGAAUAUUGGUCAAUGGGCGAGAGCCUGAACCAGCCAAGUAGCGUGAAGGAUGACGG
This 376-nucleotide ribosomal RNA is filed under the name uncultured Bacteroidales bacterium. RNAcentral describes it as "bacterial SSU rRNA". It matches the Rfam family "Bacterial small subunit ribosomal RNA", at positions 39 to 414 of the family's 1533-position model. Lineage: Bacteria; Pseudomonadati; Bacteroidota; Bacteroidia; Bacteroidales. The record is from RNAcentral.